GAACGUGAAAUCGUUGAAGUGGAACCGGAGAGAGUUGACGUAGUAUGGUGGAUAAGUAUUGCAAGAAUCGCUUCAAACAAUGAAUGUGAUCGAGUAAUAUGUACGUCACCAAAGACUGCGCUGACAGCAUCGACUACACGCUCUGAACUGUGUUGACAUGUUGCCUAUUCUAGUAUAUAGAAUGGUGUCUUGUGUUACGUGGUGAAGUUUGUUGUUAUGUUGUUGAUGUUGAUAAKUAUGAUUAUACACCAAGUAUAAUUAUGUCAGUGUAAAAGUCAACCACCUCUCCGACCCGUCUUGAAACACGGACCGAGGAGUGUAACUUGUACGCGAGUCAUUGGGUGGAAAAACCUUAAGGCGAAACGAAAGUGAAGGCACGGUUAACCGGCUGACAUGGGAAACGUGCGGUAUUGUUAGCGAGACGUUACACCAUGGCCCUGUCUUGUCUGCAUGCAGAUGGGCAGCGGUAGAGCGUACAGGUUGCGACCCGAAAGAUGGUGAACUAUGCCUGAGCAGGACGAAGUCAGAGGAAACUCUGGUGGAAGUCCGUAUCGGUUCUGACGUGCAAAUCGAUCGAUAGACUUGG
Molecule: ribosomal RNA, 586 nt
Filed under: Crenosoma striatum
Lineage: Eukaryota; Metazoa; Nematoda; Chromadorea; Rhabditida; Crenosomatidae
Description: eukaryotic LSU rRNA
Rfam family: Eukaryotic large subunit ribosomal RNA
Source: RNAcentral